RNAcentral lists this long non-coding RNA (77 nucleotides) under Phasianus colchicus (ring-necked pheasant). RNAcentral's name for it is "lncRNA (ENSPCLG00000005786.1)". The record is from RNAcentral. Lineage: Eukaryota; Metazoa; Chordata; Aves; Galliformes; Phasianidae.
AUGGGACAAAUACUUUUUUCAGUCCAACUGGACUCAGCUGCAUUAUCUGUGACCUGAAAAGGUAUUCUGGUUGGGAG